GUGGGGAAUUUUGGACAAUGGGCGCAAGCCUGAUCCAGCCAUUCCGCGUGCAGGAUGAAGGCCUUCGGGUUGUAAACUGCUUUUGUACGGAACGAAAAGCCUCUGGUUAAUACCCGGGGGUCAUGACGGUACCGUAAGAAUAAGCACCGGCUAACUACGUGCCAGCAGCCGCGGUAAUACGUAGGGUGCGAGCGUUAACCGGAAUUACUGGGCGUAAAGCGUGCGCAGGCGGUGAUGUAAGACAGUUGUGAAAUCCCCGGGCUCAACCUGGGAACUGCAUCUGUGACUGCAUUGCUGGAGUGCGGCAGAGGGGGAUGGAAUUCCGCGUGUAGCAGUGAAAUGCGUAGAUAUGCGGAGGAACACCGAUGGCGAAGGCAAUCCCCUGGGCCUGCACUGACGCUCAAGCACGAAAGCGUGGGGAGCAAACAGGAUUAGAAACCCGUGUAGUCC
RNAcentral lists this ribosomal RNA (450 nucleotides) under uncultured bacterium. RNAcentral's name for it is "partial 16S ribosomal RNA". It matches the Rfam family "Bacterial small subunit ribosomal RNA", at positions 354 to 796 of the family's 1533-position model. The record is from RNAcentral.